RNAcentral lists this ribosomal RNA (473 nucleotides) under uncultured bacterium. RNAcentral's name for it is "SSU rRNA". It matches the Rfam family "Bacterial small subunit ribosomal RNA", at positions 26 to 518 of the family's 1533-position model. The record is from RNAcentral.
AGGACGAACGCUGGCGGCGUGCUUAACACAUGCAAGUCGAGCGGAAAGGCCCUUCGGGGUACUCGAGCGGCGAACGGGUGAGUAACACGUGAGUAAUCUGCCCCUAGCUCUGGGAUAGCUCCGGGAAACCGGGAUUAAUACCGGAUACGACCACUUUAGACAUCUGUUGUGGUGGAAAGAAUUUUGGCUAGGGAUGAGCUCGCGGCCUAUCAGCUUGUUGGUGGGGUAAUGGCCUACCAAGGCGACGACGGGUAGCCGGCCUGAGAGGGCGACCGGCCACACUGGGACUGAGACACGGCCCAGACUCCUACGGGAGGCAGCAGUGGGGAAUAUUGCGCAAUGGGCGAAAGCCUGACGCAGCGACGCCGCGUGGGGGAUGAAGGCCUUCGGGUUGUAACCCCUUUCAGCAGGGACGAAGCGAAAGUGACGGUACCUGCAGAAGAAGCGCCGGCUAACUACGCGCCAGCAGCCGC